GAGCGAGUGAGCGCUCCUCCGACUUGGGUGGAGGAAGGACAGAAGAGCUCCUUGGCACUGGAUGCCUCCGGGUCUGGUUGAGAGAGGAAUGGUUAGGAGACUGUUCUGAGGAUACGCAGACAUCAUCCAAAGCUUCCUACAUUCAGAUGAGGACAGAGGUUGGGCCAGAGCUUUGUAAGCUUGUUACCUAAGGAUGGUUCUGACCAUGUAAGCAGAUCACAGAAGCACUGUUCACAAUAGCAAAGACUUGGAACCAAUCCAAAUGCCCAUCAAUGAACACCUGGAUAAAGAAAAUGUGGCACAUACACAGCAUGGAAUACUAUGCAGCCAUAAAUAAGGAUGAAUUCAUGUCCUUUGCAGGGACAUGGAUGAAGCUGGAAAACAUCAUUCUCAGCAAACUAAGCUGGAGGCAAAGGAUGCCAAGAUGGGAAAGCCACAUAAUGGAAGGAUCCUGGAUUUCAGAGCUGUCACUUGGAGGAGGGGCACCCAGUGAAGGUGUCUUAUCUAACCCACACCAUAUCUUCAUGAAGUGGCCAUAUGGAUUUGAUCCCUAUCCUUCAGAGGUGCUCAGCCUAAGGGAACACGGAUAGUAGAUUAAGCACUGACCAGAGCCAGCCUUGACAAUGUGCUGAUGGCAACCUAGAACAUAAGCAGAGGAGUAUACAGGACAAGAACUUGAUGGUCUCGGGAAAAUGGACAACAUGACUCAGGUGAAAAAGAUUGAUCAUCAGAUGUUUCUUAUGUAUCAACCUGAUAUUUAAAUCCAUGAAGGACAGAGACGACAAAGGCAGGUGGAAUAGAUAGAGAAGAGAUUCAAGGUCUGAGCUCUACAUUACUCAAACUGUUAGAGAUUAGGAAGAAGAGGAAGACCUGGCAAAAGAAUGUCCUGGGAUGUAGAAAGAAAACCAGAAGCUUGUGUUCUCUGGAAACCAAAUGAAGAAAGGGCUUCCAGAAGGACAGACAAAGUGUAGUGUGUCAAAGGCUCCUGAGCAAUCAGAGGAGAGCACAAAGGGGCUCACAGGACUUUGGUAUCUGGAUCACCCAGUGACACUUCCUGAUCACGAGAAACUGUCAGACCAACAGGGGCACUUUCUGAAACCAGCAGUUCUUCAGUGCCCAAAUGCAACCUUGAUGGUUUGAUUUUGGAGGAUGGCAAUUCAUUAACAGCACUCCCCAGUGAUAAAUAUGAAAACCAAUAAAACCCCC
RNAcentral lists this long non-coding RNA (1206 nucleotides) under Homo sapiens (human). Its description in RNAcentral is "PROX1 antisense RNA 1". The record is from RNAcentral. Lineage: Eukaryota; Metazoa; Chordata; Mammalia; Primates; Hominidae.